AUGAAGAUACCUCUUAAGAAUAAAAUCUUUGCGUGGUAUCUUCGUCGUGAAGUCAUUCUUACUAAAGAUAACCUUAUUAAGAGGAAUUGGCAUGAAAGUACGCAAUGUGUAUUUUGUCCGCAUGAUGAGACAAUAAAACAUUUGUUCUUCCAUUGUAAAUUGACUCGUUCUAUAUGGUCAGUCAUCCAGAUAGCUUCUAGCUUGUAUCCUCCGUGUAGUGUUGCUAAUAUAUUUGGCAACUGGUUACAUGGGAUUGAUCACAAGUUUAGAAUUCUUCUCAGGGUGGGAGCGCUUGCCGUGAUUUGA
This 306-nucleotide ribosomal RNA is filed under the name Triticum aestivum (bread wheat). Its description in RNAcentral is "partial small subunit ribosomal RNA". Lineage: Eukaryota; Viridiplantae; Streptophyta; Magnoliopsida; Poales; Poaceae. The record is from RNAcentral.